AUGAACGCUGGCGGCGUGCCUAAUACAUGCAAGUCGAGCGAACGGACGAGAAGCUUGCUUCUCUGAUGUUAGCGGCGGACGGGUGAGUAACACGUGGAUAACCUACCUAUAAGACUGGGAUAACUUCGGGAAACCGGAGCUAAUACCGGAUAAUAUUUUGAACCGCAUGGUUCAAAAGUGAAAGACGGUCUUGCUGUCACUUAUAGAUGGAUCCGCGCUGCAUUAGCUAGUUGGUAAGGUAACGGCUUACCAAGGCAACGACGCAUAGCCGACCUGAGAGGGUGAUCGGCCACACUGGAACUGAGACACGGUCCAGACUCCUACGGGAGGCAGCAGUAGGGAAUCUUCCGCAAUGGGCGAAAGCCUGACGGAGCAACGCCGCGUGAGUGAUGAAGGUCUUCGGAUCGUAAAACUCUGUUAUUAGGGAAGAACAUAUGUGUAAGUAACUGUGCACAUCUUGACGGUACCUAAUCAGAAAGCCACGGCUAACUACGUG
This 496-nucleotide ribosomal RNA is filed under the name uncultured bacterium. RNAcentral describes it as "partial 16S ribosomal RNA". It matches the Rfam family "Bacterial small subunit ribosomal RNA", at positions 29 to 507 of the family's 1533-position model. The record is from RNAcentral.